RNAcentral lists this non-coding RNA (30 nucleotides) under Mus musculus (house mouse). Lineage: Eukaryota; Metazoa; Chordata; Mammalia; Rodentia; Muridae. The record is from RNAcentral.
UAUCAGAAUUGACAAGUGCCUGUCCGGGAU